This 661-nucleotide long non-coding RNA is filed under the name Rattus norvegicus (Norway rat). RNAcentral's name for it is "long non-coding RNA NONRATT022662". Lineage: Eukaryota; Metazoa; Chordata; Mammalia; Rodentia; Muridae. The record is from RNAcentral.
CCCAGGCAUGAGAUGAGAACUAUUGACCAGGCCAGGUUGGUGCACCAUGAACCUUCUCCACUCCACUGCUACUCUCAAGGCGUCCACGGUGUCGGGAUCCCUUGUAUCCUCCGAGCACUGGAGUUUAAGGUGGUUGCUGCUGUAGCUGGCUGAGGCUGGUCCAAAAUGCCUGUGAUGGAGUUGGGGUCAGAGCAAGGGAGAGUUCCAGUCUGCACUUUCACUAAGAAAGGUCCGCAGAGCUGUGGGACAACUUCUUUGUCCUUCUCGGACCUCAGUUUCCCUCCACAUGGGAGUCUCUGCUACAACCCGGGGUCGAGUGGGAGUGAAGAGCUGUCUUGCUGCUGCAGCAAACAGGGAGUGAGUUCCCCAUUCUUGGGGCUAUGCAAGCAGAGGCGAGGCUGGAACUGAGCAGAACUUUGAGCUGCCUCCCCAAAAGGUGGAGAAUCCUUCCUGAAUCUGAUUUCUGCCUUUCCUGUUCUGGUAGAGGCUCUCUUGCUUGCCUUCCAUUCUCCCAGUGACCUUCUAACCGCUACAGGCCUGACUGCUAGAGCCACAUGGAGGCAGAAGAGGCAUUAAAGGGCAAAACCCAGUUCCACUCUGUACUGGGGAGAGCUCUUAUUAGGCUUAAUUGAAAUAAAUGGGAUUGCUUCCCGUCUAGUGU